Long non-coding RNA from Herpailurus yagouaroundi (jaguarundi), 400 nucleotides. RefSeq lists it as uncharacterized. The transcript is spliced from 3 exons. The record is from RefSeq and is a predicted model, not a curated record. NCBI's taxonomy places the organism in Eukaryota, Metazoa, Chordata, Mammalia, Carnivora, Felidae.
AUUAAAACAAAACAAAACAAAACCGUACACACAACAGGAAGGCUGAGGGGACCACCGUCCCUGUACAUGACCCCUGAAUGCUCUUUCCUGUCAGGCUGUGAUGUCCCCUUCCUACAGCUCAUCCCUUUUUCUUCAUCUUAAUCACUUACUCAUUCCUUGUUUUCUCUUUCCCACUCCCAUGCAAAUUCUAAGGACAGGGACCCAGUUCUAGGACCUUAUCCAGCACACACAAGUCCGUGGGAAAAUAUCUGACAACGUAAGAAGGACAGAAAAUGAAGACGCGGCCGUUGAGACUACAGAAGUACAGCCGCCUGCACCACCACCCCACUCCGAAACCCCAAAAAGAGAAAGCCAUCACCCUGGAAGUACCCCCACAGAAAGCUCCCAACUUACCAGAAAA